UAAUACCAGCUCUCCGAGUGGUAGGGACGAUUAUUGGGCUUAAAGCGUCCGUAGCCUGUCAGGUAAGUGUCCCGUUAAAUCCAACGACCCAAUCGUUGGACUGCAGGAUAUACUAUCUGACUAGGGGACGGGAGAGGUCGACGGUAUUCCUGGAGUAGGGGUGAAAUCCUAUAAUCCCAGGAAGACCACCAGUGGCGAAGGCGGUCGACUAGAACGGGCCCGACGGUGAGGGACGAAAGCUAGGGGAGCGAACCGGAUUAGAUACCCGGGUAGUCCCAGCUGUAAACGAUGCGGGCUAGGUGUUGGAUCGGCUACGGGCCGAUUCAGUGCCGCAGGGAAGCCAUUAAGCCCGCCGCCUGGGUAGUACGGCCGCAAGGCUG
Molecule: ribosomal RNA, 380 nt
Filed under: uncultured archaeon
Lineage: Archaea
Description: bacterial SSU rRNA
Rfam family: Archaeal small subunit ribosomal RNA
Source: RNAcentral